CCAUAGUUUAUCUAGCUUUUAGCUCCAUCGCAUUGCUAAAAUAUUACAGCAUUCUCCGAAUGGAAAGAGGUUUGAGGCUGAGAAUCCUGUCCUGUCAGUAAUGAACCCGACGUAUUCAAGUUUUCAAAGAACCGGACAUUUGGAUCUACCGAGCACAACUCCAGAUCACACACAAUAUUCAAACUGACCAUUGAAAGCAGGGUUAGAGAUGAGGAACACAGUGAUGGCA
Halichondria panicea is the source of this 229-nucleotide long non-coding RNA. RefSeq lists it as uncharacterized. The transcript is spliced from 3 exons. NCBI's taxonomy places the organism in Eukaryota, Metazoa, Porifera, Demospongiae, Suberitida, Halichondriidae. The record is from RefSeq and is a predicted model, not a curated record.